AAGAAAACAUGUAUGAAUGUACAACAAAAACAUGAUAAAUGGCAAACACGAGAAAAUAUUGAGUUUUGUGGCAGAUAGAAGCAGCCUCAAAGGCCGCUUUUACUCCGUCACUCGCCAAUAGCCGUAUCUCCCCUCCUGCGUCACAACUUGCUCUGCUGAAAUUAACGCACCAUAACCACGUCAUCUGCCCCAAUGAUCUACGGGCCGGAGAACCAGCGCAGAAAAGGAGUAAGUUUAAUUGGUCGCCAGAUGAAACGGUCUCCUUACAUCAAAUUCAUGAAAAAAUACGUAUAAUCAGAGGGUGUUAUGGGAAGAGUAUCACCCCUGAGGAUAAGAAGAGAGCGUGGACUGAAGUGGCAGAAGCUGUAACAAGUGCCUUCCCUGGGAGUGGACCCGUAUGCAGGAUGACUGUGAGAGGCGUUGGUACAACGUACAACAAAAAUCAAAGCCUCGCAUUGCCAAGUGCAAGAAUGAGCAGCGGCAGACUGAUACACACUUUAUCAGUAUUGCUAGAGACCAUCCCAGCACAUUGUUCAUUACUUGUGGAAAAGAUACCAUCAGCUGCUCCGGCAACAGCCACUGCUUCAACAUCUGCUGACCCUAUGACUCCAGCCACUGCUUCAACAUCUGCUGACCCUAUGACUCCAGCCACUGCUUCAUCAU
Long non-coding RNA from Eriocheir sinensis (Chinese mitten crab), 663 nucleotides. RefSeq lists it as uncharacterized. The transcript is spliced from 3 exons. The record is from RefSeq and is a predicted model, not a curated record. Lineage: Eukaryota; Metazoa; Arthropoda; Malacostraca; Decapoda; Varunidae.